CUGUCUCUUGGAGUUCCUCUGAAUGCUUCAUAUAUUAGGGACUAGUCUAAGACUCAUUAGAAAAAGUUAGUCCUUCAAUGAAGUGUUUGGGGGAACUCCUGGAUUCAA
Molecule: non-coding RNA, 108 nt
Organism: Glycine soja
Lineage: Eukaryota; Viridiplantae; Streptophyta; Magnoliopsida; Fabales; Fabaceae
Source: Rfam